UACAGAGGGUGCAAGCGUUAAUCGGAAUUACUGGGCGUAAAGCGUGCGUAGUCGGUUAUCUAAGUCGGAUGUGAAAUCCCCGGGCUCAACCUGGGAAUUGCAUUCGAAACUGAAUAGCUAGAGUUCGGCAGAGGGAAGUGGAAUUUCCGGUGUAGCGGUGAAAUGCGUAGAUAUUGGAAGGAACAUCAGUGGCGAAGGCGACUUCCUGGACCAGAACUGACGAUCAGGCACGAAAGCGUGGGGAGCAAACAGG
Molecule: ribosomal RNA, 253 nt
Filed under: uncultured bacterium
Lineage: Bacteria
Description: partial 16S ribosomal RNA
Rfam family: Bacterial small subunit ribosomal RNA
Source: RNAcentral